AUACGUAGGGGGCGAGCGUUGUCCGGAAUUAUUGGGCGUAAAGGGCGCGUAGGCGGAUAUUUAAGUCUGGUGUGAAAGGCGGGGGCUUAACCCCCGAGUGGCAUCGGAAACUGGAUAUCUUGAGGACAGGAGAGGGAAGUGGAAUUCCACGUGUAGCGGUGAAAUGCGUAGAGAUGUGGAGGAACACCAGUGGCGAAGGCGACUUUCUGGACUGUAACUGACGCUGAGGCGCGAAAGCGUGGGGAGCAAACAGGAUUAGAUACCCUGGUAGUCCACGCCGUAAACGAUGAGUGCUAGGUGUAGAGGGUAUCGACCCCCUCUGUGCCGGAGUCAACACAAUAAGCACUCCGCCUGGGGAGUACGGCCGCAAGGUUGAA
RNAcentral lists this ribosomal RNA (377 nucleotides) under uncultured bacterium. RNAcentral's name for it is "bacterial SSU rRNA". It matches the Rfam family "Bacterial small subunit ribosomal RNA", at positions 523 to 898 of the family's 1533-position model. The record is from RNAcentral.